UCGGGUGUGGUGUACGGUGCACCCUCCCUCUCUGUAAGUGGAUGAUGACCCCGCAUCACAUCAAGGGAGGAGGCCGGGUUCGACUCCCGGCGCCCGAA
This is a non-coding RNA of Mycena latifolia, 98 nucleotides long. The record is from the annotation of a GenBank genome assembly. Lineage: Eukaryota; Fungi; Basidiomycota; Agaricomycetes; Agaricales; Mycenaceae.